CUGUGAGCUCGAUGAGUAGGGCGGGACACGUGGUAUCCUGUCUGAAUAUGGGGGGACCAUCCUCCAAGGCUAAAUACUCCUGACUGACCGAUAGUGAACCAGUACCGUGAGGGAAAGGCGAAAAGAACCCCGGCGAGGGGAGUGAAAAAGAACCUGAAACCGUGUACGUACAAGCAGUGGGAGCACGCUUCGGCGUGUGACUGCGUACCUUUUGUAUAAUGGGUCAGCGACUUAUAUUCUGUAGCAAGGUUAACCGAAUAGGGGAGCCGAAGGGAAACCGAGUCUUAACUGGGCGUUAAGUUGCAGGGUAUAGACCCGAAACCCGGUGAUCUAGCCAUGGGCAGGUUGAAGGUUGGGUAACACUAACUGGAGGACCGAACCGACUAAUGUUGAAAAAUUAGCGGAUGACUUGUGGCUGGGGGUGAAAGGCCAAUCAAACCGGGAGAUAGCUGGUUCUCCCCGAAAGCUAUUUAGGUAGCGCCUCGUGAAUUCAUCUCCGGGGGUAGAGCACUGUUUCGGCAAGGGGGUCAUCCCGACUUACCAACCCGAUGCAAACUGCGAAUACCGGAGAAUGUUAUCACGGGAGACACACGGCGGGUGCUAACGUCCGUCGUGAAGAGGGAAACAACCCAGACCGCCAGCUAAGGUCCCAAAGUCAUGGUUAAGUGGGAAACGAUGUGGGAAGGCCCAGACAGCCAGGAUGUUGGCUUAGAAGCAGCCAUCAUUUAAAGAAAGCGUAAUAGCUCACUGGUCGAGUCGGCCUGCGCGGAAGAUGUAACGGGGCUAAACCAUGCACCGAAGCUGCGGCAGCGACACUAUGUGUUGUUGGGUAGGGGAGCGUUCUGUAAGCCUGUGAAGGUGUACUGUGAGGUAUGCUGGAGGUAUCAGAAGUGCGAAUGCUGACAUAAGUAACGAUAAAGCGGGUGAAAAGCCCGCUCGCCGGAAGACCAAGGGUUCCUGUCCAACGUUAAUCGGGGCAGGGUGAGUCGACCCCUAAGGCGAGGCCGAAAGGCGUAGUCGAUGGGAAACAGGUUAAUAUUCCUGUACUUGGUGUUACUGCGAAGGGGGGACGGAGAAGGCUAUGUUGGCCGGGCGACGGUUGUCCCGGUUUAAGCGUGUAGGCUGGUUUUCCAGGCAAAUCCGGAAAAUCAAGGCUGAGGCGUGAUGACGAGGCACUACGGUGCUGAAGCAACAAAUGCCCUGCUUCCAGGAAAAGCCUCUAAGCAUCAGGUAACAUCAAAUCGUACCCCAAACCGACACAGGUGGUCAGGUAGAGAAUACCAAGGCGCUUGAGAGAACUCGGGUGAAGGAACUAGGCAAAAUGGUGCCGUAACUUCGGGAGAAGGCACGCUGAUAUGUAGGUGAAGCGACUUGCUCGUGGAGCUGAAAUCAGUCGAAGAUACCAGCUGGCUGCAACUGUUUAUUAAAAACACAGCACUGUGCAAACACGAAAGUGGACGUAUACGGUGUGACGCCUGCCCGGUGCCGGAAGGUUAAUUGAUGGGGUUAGCGCAAGCGAAGCUCUUGAUCGAAGCCCCGGUAAACGGCGGCCGUAACUAUAACGGUCCUAAGGUAGCGAAAUUCCUUGUCGGGUAAGUUCCGACCU
RNAcentral lists this ribosomal RNA (1606 nucleotides) under Escherichia coli. RNAcentral describes it as "partial 23S ribosomal RNA". It matches the Rfam family "Bacterial large subunit ribosomal RNA", at positions 397 to 1989 of the family's 2925-position model. Lineage: Bacteria; Pseudomonadati; Pseudomonadota; Gammaproteobacteria; Enterobacterales; Enterobacteriaceae. The record is from RNAcentral.